This 469-nucleotide ribosomal RNA is filed under the name uncultured bacterium. Its description in RNAcentral is "partial 16S ribosomal RNA". It matches the Rfam family "Bacterial small subunit ribosomal RNA", at positions 28 to 507 of the family's 1533-position model. The record is from RNAcentral.
GACGAACGCUGGCGGCGUGCUUAACACAUGCAAGUCGAACGGAAAGGCCCUGCUUUUGUGGGGUGCUCGAGUGGCGAACGGGUGAGUAACACGUGAGUAACCUGCCCUUGACUUUGGGAUAACUUCAGGAAACUGGGGCUAAUACCGGAUAGGAGCUCCUGCUGCAUGGUGGGGGUUGGAAAGUUUCGGCGGUUGGGGAUGGACUCGCGGCUUAUCAGCUUGUUGGUGGGGUAGUGGCUUACCAAGGCUUUGACGGGUAGCCGGCCUGAGAGGGUGACCGGCCACAUUGGGACUGAGAUACGGCCCAGACUCCUACGGGAGGCAGCAGUGGGGAAUAUUGCACAAUGGGCGGAAGCCUGAUGCAGCAACGCCGCGUGCGGGAUGACGGCCUUCAGGGUUGUAAACCGCUUUCGCCUGUGACGAAGCGUGAGUGACGGUAAUGGGUAAAGAAGCACCGGCUAACUACGUG